AACGUAGGACGCAAGCGUUAUCCGGAGUUACUGGGCGUAAAGCGCGGGCAGGCGGUCGGUCAAGUCUGAUGUGAAAUCUCCGGGCUCAACCGGGAGAGGCCAUUGGAAACGGGUCGGCUGGAGGGCAGUAGAGGUAGGCGGAAUUCCGGGUGGAGUGGUGAAAUGCGUAGAGAUCCGGAGGAACACCAGAGGCGAAGGCGGCCUACUGGGCUGCACCUGACGCUGAGCCGCGAAAGCCAGGGGAGCGAACGGG
This 253-nucleotide ribosomal RNA is filed under the name uncultured bacterium. RNAcentral's name for it is "partial 16S ribosomal RNA". It matches the Rfam family "Bacterial small subunit ribosomal RNA", at positions 524 to 776 of the family's 1533-position model. The record is from RNAcentral.